This 1251-nucleotide long non-coding RNA is filed under the name Daphnia pulicaria. Its description in RNAcentral is "uncharacterized LOC124311614, transcript variant X2". Lineage: Eukaryota; Metazoa; Arthropoda; Branchiopoda; Diplostraca; Daphniidae. The record is from RNAcentral.
UAGGUGGUGCAACAGAAAAUUUAUUUAGCUCCGGAGCCAAGGGCUUGGGAGGCGUUAUAGGAUUAUUUCAGUGGCAACACCGCUUCCAAAAUCCAAACCUCACGUUCGUCUGCAACGGUCCAUAACUCUACACUAGUACACUUUGCAUUGUUUUUGUUUGAAAAAUUGUUAGGCCACAGCACAGAUGGUGAGGGCAUGGUAUUGUUAUCCAAUACCGACUAAUAUGACUGGAGAUCAAUUUGAAAUUUGAAUAUCUUGCCAACUAUAACUUCCUUUAUAAAAUUUGAGAUAUCUUUCUGAUUGACUGCCUUCUGCUGGUUACUUUGUUGCAGCCAGCUUGCGAAUGGUGUUCUUUUUGCAGGCUUGCUACCUGUACUGGAUGUAACUUUUAUCACAUACUGAAACAACUCUAAAGCAGCAUGUUGUAGAUCUUUCCUUUCUCCACGUGGUUACUGCCAUGUCAUGAAGAUGCAUGUUUGAGAGGGUCUCUACUAUAUUGUAAGACAAAAGUGUGACGAAAACAGAAAAUCUGAAAUGGUGUUCAUUGUCAGUUUGGUGUACAGUGGUUUUGCAGUCAUUUUCCAGUUGAGAGAUGUGCUGAAAUGGAGCUUGUGCACACUUGCAGUUCAACAUCUACUUCAAUGGGUCAUUUGCUUAUGUUGGUCCCCAUGCAGUAUAUGCAGUGUUGAAUGUGCAGUUGGGUAAAAUAGUCAAUGUUCUGUCGGGUUUAUUUUAUCAGCUGCGUUUUUUCGAUCUGUCUUGCUACAGGCGUUGAGUUCAAUCGUUUGCUGCCGUUCCAUUCCAUAGACUUGAUCCAUUGGUGAAACUGAGGUUGCUGAAAUUAAAGACUCGUCAAUAAAUUAUGAGGAAGUAGUUAAAAUUGCAAGUGCAUAUCUGGGCUCCCUUCUUCAGUGGCCUCGUUUCCCUAACUAACCACUAACCAACGCCCGCCGGUGGUCACUCACUCGCUGCGACAACCAGGAGGAAGGGUCUGGUCGAACGGGGACUUGUAAGGCGCAUGAUUCGAUUAAAUCUGUUGGAGGGUCAUGAGUCUAAGCCGCAAACCUACUAUGAUGCAUUGGUCUCAUAAUAGCUGCUCCUGCGGCUCUUUUCGCUCUUUUUCCGGUUUCUCUUAACCACGGCCGGGUAAUCUCCCUGGUAGAGUCAGUCGGGCAGUGUCUCCCCCUGCUUGACUGGCUGCAGUUUGUACCGGACGGUUUGUUUAAUAAAUAAAACAAGUAUAAAAAACCA